CAAUAGCGUAUAUUAAAGUUGUUGUGGUUAAAAAGCUCGUAGUUGGAUCUCGGCGGUCUGAGGGCGGUUCACUUGCUAGUGCUACUGCCCUAUAGACCGUAGUUUUGCCAGAGGUCUCAGGGUGCUCUUAAUCGAGUGUCUUGUGAUGCUGGCAGGUUUACUUUGAAAAAAUUAGAGUGCUCAAAGCAGGCUUUUACGCCUGAAUAUUCGUGCAUGGAAUAAUAGAAUAGGAAGUCGUUUCUAUUUUGUUGGUUUUCGGAAAUCGACUUAAUGAUUAAUAGGGACAGUCGGGGGCAUUUGUAUUCAAACGACAGAGGUGAAAUUCUUGGACCGUUUGAAGACAAACUACUGCGAAAGCAUUUGCCAAGAAUGUUUUCAUUAAUCAAGAACGAAAGUUAGAGGUU
RNAcentral lists this ribosomal RNA (404 nucleotides) under Arthropoda sp. MM00283. Its description in RNAcentral is "SSU rRNA". It matches the Rfam family "Eukaryotic small subunit ribosomal RNA", at positions 592 to 998 of the family's 1831-position model. The record is from RNAcentral. Lineage: Eukaryota; Metazoa; Arthropoda. RNAcentral also lists the same sequence under 4 other names.